AACGAACGCUGGCGGCAGGCUUAACACAUGCAAGUCGAGCGCACCUUCGGGUGAGCGGCGGACGGGUGAGUAACGCGUGGGAACGUACCUUUCUCUACGGAAUAGCCUCGGGGAAACUGAGAGUAACACCGUAUACGCCCUUCGGGGAAAGGAUUAUCGGAGAGAGAUCGGCCCGCGUCUGAUUAGGUAGUUGGUGGGGUAAUGGCCACCAAGCCGACGAUCAGUAGCUGGUUUGAGAGGAUGAUCAGCCACACUGGGACUGAGACACGGCCCAGACUCCUACGGGAGGCAGCAGUGGGGGAAUCUUGGACAAUGGGGGAAACCCUGAUCCAGCCAUGCC
This 340-nucleotide ribosomal RNA is filed under the name uncultured bacterium. Its description in RNAcentral is "bacterial SSU rRNA". It matches the Rfam family "Bacterial small subunit ribosomal RNA", at positions 29 to 398 of the family's 1533-position model. The record is from RNAcentral.